AUUGAACGCUGGCGGCAGGCCUAACACAUGCAAGUCGAGCGGAUGAAGGGAGCUUGCUCCUGGAUUCAGCGGCGGACGGUUGAGUAAUGCCUAGGAAUCUGCCUGGUAUUGGGGGAUAACGUCCUGAAACGGGCUCUAAUACCGCAUACGUCCUUAGGUCGCAUUUGGGUGAUCUUCGGACCUCACGCUAUCAUAUUAGCCUAGGUCGGAUUAGCUAGUUGGUGGGGUAAAGGCCUACCAAGGCGACGAUCCGUAACUGGUCUGAGAGGGUGAUCAGUCACACGGGAACUGAGACAGGGCAGAGACUCAGAGGGGAGGCAGCAGUGGGGAAUAUUGGAGAAUGGGCGAAAGCGGGAUAUAGCAAAGCCGGGUGUGGGAAGAAGGUGCUAGGAUGGUAAAGCACUUAAAGUUGGGAGGAAGGGAAGUAAGUUAACACCUGGCGGUAUUGACGGUACCAACAGAAUAAGCUCCGGCUAACUUCGUG
This 484-nucleotide ribosomal RNA is filed under the name uncultured bacterium. Its description in RNAcentral is "partial 16S ribosomal RNA". It matches the Rfam family "Bacterial small subunit ribosomal RNA", at positions 30 to 507 of the family's 1533-position model. The record is from RNAcentral.